Molecule: long non-coding RNA, 891 nt
Organism: Ictalurus punctatus (channel catfish)
Lineage: Eukaryota; Metazoa; Chordata; Actinopteri; Siluriformes; Ictaluridae
Exons: 2
Source: RefSeq, a predicted model, not a curated record
ACACAAACCUGAUGCCAUGCCGGAGGGAAACAGGUGGUGACGUCACCCUUUCCGCAAGGGACGCCAUCCCAGCCCCACUCACUACUACCUUCCAACAAAUGGGACACCUCAUCCACUAUCACUCCAGGGUUGCAGGGAACCUGGAGCCUAUCCCCGAGAUACGGAGCACAGGCAGGGGACACCCUGGACGGCGUGCCAAUCCAUUCCAGGGCACACUUACACACACAUUCACACACCCAUUCAUACAUUACGGACACGUUGGACAUGCCAAUCAGCCUACAAUGCAUGCCUUUGGACUUGGGGAGGAAACUGUGGUACCUGGAGGAAACCCCCGAGGCACAAGGAGAACAUGCAAGCUCCGCACACACAGGGCAGUGGCAGGAAUCGAACCCUCAACCCAGGAGGUGUGAGGCAAAUCUGAUACCCACUAAGCCACCCCCCAUAUCAGUACAUUUAAAUGUGAAAUAUUACUUGAGAUUUGCAACCAUACCUUUGAUAAUAACUUAAGCAACACUGAGAUUUAUUUGUUUGUUUGUUUGUUUGUUUUACCUAAACUGCUGUAGAUAUAGAUCUAUUGCACAUAAAAACUGUUGCUACAAAAAGUGCAAGGAACCAGGUUGCGCAAUAUUUGCCAUUUAUUUAGAAGAAACAAAACCACUAUACAGAGAUAAACUGUUAGUCGGGUCCUACUACACUUAGAGUAGUGACACUGUGAUAGUGUGACCACAGUUUAUGUGUUUAGAAAAAGUGACUAGUAAUAAAUAAAAUAAAUUGCACACAAACCAACAUUGGAGCCUGUUUUUUUAUGAAAGCAGUUGCUUAGUUAUUGUUAGUUCUCAUAGAUGCAUUCCUCUCUCUGAGUCUGCGUGAUUGUCUGUGGAAUAGGUCUGG